RNAcentral lists this ribosomal RNA (305 nucleotides) under uncultured bacterium. RNAcentral's name for it is "bacterial SSU rRNA". It matches the Rfam family "Bacterial small subunit ribosomal RNA", at positions 335 to 639 of the family's 1533-position model. The record is from RNAcentral.
CGCCCUACGGGACGCAGUAGUGGGGAAUAUUGCACAAUGGGCGCAAGCCUGAUGCAGCGACGCCGCGUGCGGGAUGGAGGCCUUCGGGUUGUAAACCGCUUUUGUUCAAGGGCAAGGCACGGUCUUUGGCCGUGUUGAGUGGAUUGUUCGAAUAAGCACCGGCUAACUACGUGCCAGCAGCCGCGGUAAUACGUAGGGUGCAAGCGUUAUCCGGAUUUAUUGGGCGUAAAAGGCUCGUAGGCGGUUCGUCGCGUCCGGGGUGAAAGUCCAUCGCCUAACGGGGGAUCCGCGCCGGGUACGGGCGG